This 101-nucleotide non-coding RNA is filed under the name uncultured Dysosmobacter sp. Its description in RNAcentral is "yjdF RNA". It matches the Rfam family "azaaromatic riboswitch aptamer (yjdF RNA)", at positions 9 to 88 of the family's 101-position model. Lineage: Bacteria; Bacillati; Bacillota; Clostridia; Eubacteriales; Oscillospiraceae. The record is from RNAcentral.
GCGAGGAUAAAAACACGUCCCGGCCGGUAGUCCGCGGAGCGCUUUCCCGGGGAAACUCCCGGGGGCGUCAGUAACCUGCCUCCUUUGGUUGUCCGUUCCCC